Molecule: ribosomal RNA, 491 nt
Filed under: uncultured bacterium
Lineage: Bacteria
Description: partial 16S ribosomal RNA
Rfam family: Bacterial small subunit ribosomal RNA
Source: RNAcentral
AGUGAACGCUGGCGGUAGGCCUAACACAUGCAAGUCGAACGGCAGCACAGUAAGAGCUUGCUCUUACGGGUGGCGAGUGGCGGACGGGUGAGGAAUACAUCGGAAUCUACUUUUUCGUGGGGGAUAACGUAGGGAAACUUACGCUAAUACCGCAUACGACCUACGGGUGAAAGCAGGGGAUCUUCGGACCUUGCGCGAUUGAAUGAGCCGAUGUCGGAUUAGCUAGUUGGCGGGGUAAGGGCCCACCAAGGCGACGAUCCGUAGCUGGUCUGAGAGGAUGAUCAGCCACACUGGAACUGAGACACGGUCCAGACUCCUACGGGAGGCAGCAGUGGGGAAUAUUGGACAAUGGGCGCAAGCCUGAUCCAGCCAUACCGCGUAGGUGAAGAAGGCCUUCGGGUUGUAAAGCCCUUUUGUUGGGAAAGAAAAGCAGCAGGUUAAUACCCCGCUGUUCUGACGGUACCCAAAGAAUAAGCACCGGCUAACUUCGU